GAGCUGGAGCUCAGUGGUAGAGCGCUUGCCUAGCAUGUAUGAGGCUCUGGGUUUGAUCCUCAGCACCACA
Molecule: transfer RNA, 70 nt
Filed under: Marmota monax (woodchuck)
Lineage: Eukaryota; Metazoa; Chordata; Mammalia; Rodentia; Sciuridae
Description: tRNA.Ala
Rfam family: tRNA (bases 5-65)
About the family: Transfer RNA (tRNA) molecules are approximately 80 nucleotides in length. Their secondary structure includes four short double-helical elements and three loops (D, anti-codon, and T loops).
Source: RNAcentral